Molecule: ribosomal RNA, 301 nt
Filed under: uncultured bacterium
Lineage: Bacteria
Description: partial 16S ribosomal RNA
Rfam family: Bacterial small subunit ribosomal RNA
Source: RNAcentral
CAGUAGCCGCGGUAAUACGAAGGGUGCAAGCGUUAAUCGGAAUUACUGGGCGUAAAGCGCGCGUAGGUGGUUUGGUAAGAUGGAUGUGAAAUCCCCGGGCUCAACCUGGGAACUGCAUCCAAAACUGGCAAGCUAGAGUAUGGUAGAGGGUGGUGGAAUUUCCUGUGUAGCGGUGAAAUGCGUAGAUAUAGGAAGGAACACCAGUGGCGAAGGCGACCACCUGGACUGAUACUGACACUGAGGUGCGAAAGCGUGGGGAGCAAACAGGAUUAGAUACCCCGGUAGUCCCUGUCUCUUAUAC